RNAcentral lists this long non-coding RNA (1325 nucleotides) under Salmo salar (Atlantic salmon). RNAcentral describes it as "lncRNA (ENSSSAG00000105545.1)". The record is from RNAcentral. Lineage: Eukaryota; Metazoa; Chordata; Actinopteri; Salmoniformes; Salmonidae.
UUGUGACUGUACUAUUUAGUGUCAUUGUUUUAUAGAUACCAUAGUGAGAAAGGAUUCAUUUCGCAACUCCUACGGCUUCCACUAGAUGUCAACGAUCUUUAUAAAGUUGUUUGAAGCGUCUAUGAUGAACAGAGACCGGAUGACAAGGAAGAGAAGUUGACCUCCCUGGGAUGUCGUCACUUCAUUAUUGGCUGCACCUGCGCAAUCAUGUGAUGCGAUACAUUUUUCAAAGACGUUUUUCAAGACACAGGAGAGGUCGGGUUGAAACAUUACUGAUGUUUCACGUUAAAAAUGGCUCUAAAGAUUGAUGCUAAACAACGUUUGACAUGUUUGAACAAUGUAAAUAGAUUAUUUUUUUUACUUUUCGCCGUGACUCCCCCCCGCGCUACUUUUUUAGUAGCCUACCGAAGCGCUAACAACAUGGAACAACUUGGAGUUAUUUGGACAUCAAUUAUGAACUUUGUCAAAAGAAACCACAUUUGUAGUGGACCUGGGAUUUCUAGAAGUGCCAAUGGAUGAAGAUAAUCAAAGUCCAUCUGUGGACGGGUUCCAAGUGGAAGAAAGUUGGUGAUGAAGUAAUUUGAAACUGCAAGAAAACCAGUAUCUGGUGGAAGAGGUCAACUGUUCACUCCAGAGUACGAGACCCACAUUAGAGUCAUGGAGCUAGAAGCAGAUGCAGUGCAUCAUGAGCUAAUAUAUGUGGACGAGGCAGGUUUCAACCUUGCAAAAACAAGGGGACGUGGCAGAAAUAUCAUUGGACACCGUGCCAUCAUCAACAUCCUGGGACAACGUGGUGGCAACAUAACAAUGUGUGUGGCUAUUAGUCAAAAUGGCAUCCUUCACCAUCAUGCAAUCCUAGGCCCAUACAACACUGCACACAUUAUCACAUUUCUGGACACCCUCCACAACAGACUAAUCCCUAAUAACCAGGGGCCAGAGCAGCCCAGGUACGUUAUCAUCUGGGACAAUGUUAGUUUCACUGGGCUGCUGUGGUCCGCAAUUGGUUCACAGGUCACCCACUUUUCAUCGCACUCUAUCUCCCCCCAUACACUCCGUUCUUGAAUCCUAUUGAAGAAUUCUUCUCUGUAUGGAGUUGGAAGGUGUAUGAUCGCCAGCCCCACCAACGCAUACCCCUUCUACAGGCAAUGGAGGAGGCUUGUGGAGACAUCGAUCAGAGGUCAUGCCAGGCCUGGAUACGGCACUCCAGGCGAUACUUUCCACGCUGCCUAACUCAAGACAACAUUGCAUGUGAUGUGGGUGAAAUCGUAUGGCCAGACCCACAAAGAAGGCUAGAUGCAGCCUAAUCUUUUUCAGUUAUUUUUUUU